Mauremys reevesii (Reeves's turtle) is the source of this 366-nucleotide long non-coding RNA. RefSeq lists it as uncharacterized. Lineage: Eukaryota; Metazoa; Chordata; Testudines; Geoemydidae. The transcript is spliced from 3 exons. The record is from RefSeq and is a predicted model, not a curated record.
GACAUCUUAACAUUGGUAGGGGCGGAAAUACAUAUAAGGAAGAGGGAAGAAACCCCUAUUGAAUAUGCAUUAGACAUGAGCUUUGAAAUGACAACGCCACGGGUGAUGGUCGUAAGGCCUGUGUUCAUGAGAAAGGGCCACAACUUCCUGACCAGAUCAAAUGGAAACAAGUCAGCUUGGGUCACUGCAAGUACAAGAAGCUUGUGGAACCCCAGAUGAGAAAGCUCUCAGUACCUUCUGGGACCUCCCAGACAGAGAAGAAUGAAGUUACCACAAGACAGCACCAUCUAUUCCCUGUUAGUUUCUCUAGGACUAUUCCUGGGUGCUGAUUCCCCAUCUUGUGAGAAGCAACGCCCCUCCUGCAAG